GGGUGUUCCUGGUACCAGUUCUGCUUGCUGCCGCCGUACCGGUGGCAGUGUACGCGGCGCGGAGCUGGCGCCGCGGCCGACUGCUGAAGCUCAGCCGCUCCUGGCUGCUGCGACACCUACUGCCGGGGCUGACGCUUGCCCUGAUCGCUGUCGGAAUAUUCACCGGCCUGGAGACAGUCGACAACUACCAGUACACGCACAGUGCGUGGCACCUGGCGCUCUCCCUGUCUCUGCUAGCCCUGCUGCCUGACGGCGGCCGGCGGGGCCCAUCACCCUCCGACCAGCUCCAGCUGAUAGCUGAGGACGCAGACAGCGACAGAGUAUCCUUUCGACACGAGCUGGAAGAGCUGGGAGCGGGCCGGGGGUCGCCGACCUUCUGUAGAUCGGACUCGGCCGCCCCCGUCCGUGCCGUGGUCGCCGCCCCGGGCACCGCUGGCAGCUAACACGGAAUGGAUACAGUGGAGACUUCUGACACAGCUGAGUUGGUUUCUGCGAAAGGUGCGUCCUCUGCAGUCUGAGGUACGACGAUCUAGGAGAAGUUAUGGUAGCUGGUAAGAGUGUGAUGACUGUUACAGAGUGGG
Amphibalanus amphitrite is the source of this 581-nucleotide long non-coding RNA. RefSeq lists it as uncharacterized. Lineage: Eukaryota; Metazoa; Arthropoda; Thecostraca; Balanomorpha; Balanidae. The record is from RefSeq and is a predicted model, not a curated record. The transcript has 3 exons.